Molecule: ribosomal RNA, 433 nt
Filed under: uncultured bacterium
Lineage: Bacteria
Description: partial 16S ribosomal RNA
Rfam family: Bacterial small subunit ribosomal RNA
Source: RNAcentral
AACGAACGCUGGCGGCAGGCCUAACACAUGCAAGUCGAGCGAGAUCUUCGGGUCUAGCGGCGGACGGGUGAGUAACGCGUGGGAAUAUGCCCUUCUCUGCGGAAUAGCCUCGGGAAACUGAGCGUAAUACCGCAUACGCCCUUUGGGGGAAAGAUUUAUCGGAGAAGGAUUAGCCCGCGUUGGAUUAGGUAGUUGGUGGGGUAACGGCCUACCAAGCCGACGAUCCAUAGCUGGUUUGAGAGGAUGAUCAGCCACACUGGGACUGAGACACGGCCCAGACUCCUACGGGAGGCAGCAGUGGGGAAUCUUAGACAAUGGGGGCAACCCUGAUCUAGCCAUGCCGCGUGAGUGAUGAAGGCCUUAGGGUUGUAAAGCUCUUUCAGCUGGGAAGAUAAUGACGGUACCAGCAGAAGAAGCCCCGACUAACUCCGUG